Molecule: long non-coding RNA, 1211 nt
Organism: Syngnathoides biaculeatus (alligator pipefish)
Lineage: Eukaryota; Metazoa; Chordata; Actinopteri; Syngnathiformes; Syngnathidae
Exons: 3
Source: RefSeq, a predicted model, not a curated record
UCACAGCACGUGAUGGGAAUCACUGCACUAAGUUAAUGGUUCACAAACAGUUUUAUACCAAGUGUCACUUAAAAAAUGAAAAAUUCUCCAAGCACCAUCAUAAUGACCAAAUUUGAAAUACAGUAAUCCAAGAGAACACAGGGGCAAGUCUAGUAGUUUGAUCAAAACAAAACCACUCAUUUGAUGUUUUUAUGAAGGAGAUGACCACAUGAAUUACGGGGCCUUAUCAUCCCAUACGGUCGGAUGAAUGAAUUGGGCAGGAAAUACAUUUCCUCAGUCUUAAUCAUCAUAUGCUCCUAAUGAAAUGAUGAUGACGAUGAAAUUAAUUUGUACUGUCUUGACCUUCUCUGUCUUAAAACAGUUUGCUUUCAUCUCCACAGCGUCUGGAGUAUGAUCAAGAGCUUCGACUUGCACGGCGCAGUAAGUCUGCGCCAGUGAUGUGUUAAUCGUGCUGGUUAAUUCAAGGCGUGUUUGUAAAGACUUUUGGAAAGUGAUUGACUCCUUGACUCGAAUCCUUUUUAGACCGCAGUCCUGAUCCUUUCCUAGCCUCAUAUUAUGUAAGGAUAUAAUCUGCCGCCUCACUUUUAAUCAAUAACCACUCUGAUGUUUACAAGCGAUAGAUGUGAAGGAACACAAAAGCCUUUGUGGUCUCUAAGUGGAUUUCAAAGCUCAAUUGUCUGAGGCCUUCGGUUAGUCAGUUUGUGUAAUUAUAUACGUACACUAGGAGAGCGGAUGAAGAAAGUGAAGCAGUGGGUUUUAUUGAAAGCCUAAAAGUAAAUACAUCGGAAGCCCACCGGGGACUCUUACUGGUAAAGCACCACAUCAGAUCACAGCUCAGAUGGGUGCCUAUUAUCUGGAGAAUGUUCACUCUACAGUUUUGUGAAAGCUGGAGAGAGAUGGAGCUACACUGUCCUCUGCUGGAGAUCCUGCACACACUUUAGAAGCGGAAGGACUGCGAGGGUGGGACAUGCCAGCUUUCCACCGCCAAGCCGAGGGGGCCUGCAGCAGAUGUGACAUCACAACAGCUCAUCGCCACUCUGCAAAACCCCUCCUUUCCCUCUAUCAGACUCCCCAGCAUCUCCCACACAUUCCUCCUCUCUCCCUGCCUACACACACACGGCCAUUUUGAUCUCGUUUACAGUAAGGAGGGAAGAGAAGAGGCAUUAAAAAAAAGACGCUUUAAGCCAGUGUUGUUGUGUAAUGAACAAAUA